Molecule: ribosomal RNA, 515 nt
Filed under: uncultured bacterium
Lineage: Bacteria
Description: partial 16S ribosomal RNA
Rfam family: Bacterial small subunit ribosomal RNA
Source: RNAcentral
GAUGAACGCUGGCGGCGUGCCUAAUACAUGCAAGUCGAGCGAAUGGAUUAAGAGCUUGCUCUUAUGAAGUUAGCGGCGGACGGGUGAGUAACACGUGGGUAACCUGCCCAUAAGACUGGGAUAACUCCGGGAAACCGGGGCUAAUACCGGAUAACAUUUUGAACCGCAUGGUUCGAAAUUGAAAGGCGGCUUCGGCUGUCACUUAGGGAUGGACUCGCGUCGCAUUAGCUAGUUGGUGAGGUAACGGCUCACCAAGGCAACGAUGCGUAGCCGACCUGAGAGGGUGAUCGGCCACACUGGGACUGAGACACGGCCCAGACUCCUACGGGAGGCAGCAGUAGGGAAUCUUCCGCAGUGGACGAAAGUCUGACGGAGCAACGCCGCGUGAGUGAUGAAGGCUUUCGGGUCGUAAAACUCUGUUGUUAGGGAAGAACAAGUGCUAGUUGAAUAAGCUGGCACCUUGACGGUACCUAACCAGAAAGCCACGGCUAACUACGUGCCAGCAGCCGCGGUAA